GCAGAAUGUCUAAAUUCAUAAUGAACUCAAGUGACUUUUAUGAAUGCAGUGGAAAAUGACAGCCAAUCUGGUUUCCAGCUUCUGCAGUUUCUGUUUUGAAGAGCCAGCACUUACGGCAGAAACUUCUUCAGUCUCUGUUUCUUGAUAAAGUGUAUUGGGAAAGUCAAGGAGGUAGACAAGGAAUUGAAAAGCUUAUCGAUGUAAUAGAACACAGAGCCAAAAUUCUUAUCACCUAUAUCAAUGCACACGGGGUCAAAGUAUUACCUAUGAAUGAAUGACAAAAGAAUCUUCUGGCUAGGGUGUUAGAUAUAUUUAUGCAUUUUUGGUUUUGUUUUUAAAUCAAGCACAUCAACCUCAAGCCCGUUUAGCAAUGAGGCAGUGUAGAUGAAUACGUAAAAUAAAUGACUUUAACCAAGUAGCUAUAAUGGGACUUAGCACUGUAUGCAUACUUAAAAAGGUUUUGAAAAACAAACUACUUGAGAAAUAUUUGUUUAUAUUUUUCUCUAACAUCAUGCUAUGUGUCAGUCUGAACAUCUGACAACAGAAAUUUCAGUUAUUAUUCUAGCUAAGUUUUGAAAACAUUUGUCAUGCUGUUUAAUAGAAAACUGCAAACCAGAGACACUGACUCCAUUAAUAAACCAUAUUUUGUGCCGUUUUGACUGUUCUGACCAAAUACUAAUGGGAACAAUUCUUGACGUUUUUCUGUUGCUGAUUGUUAACAUAGAGCAGUCUCUACACUACCCUGAGGCAACUCUACAUUGGAACACUGAGGCUUACAGCCUGCAAGAGCAUCAGAGCUGACCAUACAUUUAAACAGAAAUGCUGGUUUAUUUGCAAAAUCACCAGUAUAUUUUCUAUUGUGUCUAUAAAAAAUCAGUCAUUUAAGUACAAGAAUCAUAUUUUCCAUUCCUUUUUAGAAAUUUAUUUUGUUGUCCCUAUGGAAAUCAUUCACAUCUGACAAUUUAUAUGUUAAAGAGUUUUACUCUCUCUAUUUUGGUCCAAUUUGUAUCUAGUGGCUGAGAAAUUAAAUAAUUCUAAAGUAUGAAGUUACCUAUCUGAAAAUGUACUUACAGAGUAUCAUUUUAAAAUGGAUGUCUCUUUAAAAAUUUUGUUACUUUUACCAACAAUGUAAUAUAAUUUAUGUAUAUUUUAUUAAUAAUAGUGAAUUCCUUAAAAUUUGUUCUAUGUACUUAUAUUUAAUUUGAUUUAAUGGUUACUGCCCAGAUAUUGAGAAUUGGUUCAAAUAUUGAGUGUGUUUCAAUAUAUUAUCUGGCUUAUUUCAACAUGAGUAAUAUGAGCAAAAUAAGUUAAAACCUGCGUCUGAUCAAUUUUCCUCAUGACUAGAACUAAAACAGUAAAUUUGGACAAUAUUAAGCCUCAAAUAAUCAUCUCCAAACUCCUUCUAACACUUUUUAAAUCAGAUUGGAAGACAUGGACAAAUCAGGUUCAUGUGUUGCAUCUUUAUGUCCUUUGCCAAUAUCCAAGAUCAUCACAUAUGGUAGAUAUUCACAUGGAGUUUCAAAUUCAGAAUAGAUUACCAUUACCUUCCUGCCCUUACACAUCCUACUCCUUAUUUAAAAGUUCUAUUUGUGACUUUUCAUUUCCUGAAAGUUUAAAAAUACAAUUUGAGAAUGUUUAUAAUACAUUCUCUCCUGUCUUUUCACGGUUACGUCUGUUAUUGCUGAAAUACACCACAUUUUCUUUGUUCUGGUCAAGGUUAACUCAAUAUCUGUGUGAAAGAGAACUACUAACAACGUUACAAUAGAGGCUAGAUUUGAAAAAAAAAAUCUAUAGAUCUAAUUGAUACAAUUGUAGAACAAAAUGUCAAAAUAAUGUUUUAAGUAUAAGAGAAGAUGGACCAAGGAGAGAGAGAUCAUUUGAAAAUCUAAUUGUAGCUUUUCUAGGCUCACAUUCAUGUACUACUUUUAGCACCCUUAUGGGCUGUGCUCGCCCCCUGGACAGUUGAGCUUUGGAUUAUCUUCCUCUUCAAUUUUCCCUCUAUUGACCCGAGUGUCUCCCUCUGCUUCUACAGAUUUAUAGUACUCCUUGGCUCUUUUGAGUCUCCACUUUUACUCACUGUCUCUGGGAUUUUUAAGAUCCUUUUCUUCUCUUAUAAAUCAUCCUCUUAAUGAAAAUUAGCCUAACAAAAGUUUGGAGACUGGAAUCCUACUUUGAGCCACUGACUUGAAAUAACUCUUUUGGCAAGUUGCCUGACAUCCUGUCUUACCAAGGUGGCAUAUUUGCAUUUUUACUGCUUAAAACAUUUUUUUUUUUUUACCAUCUUUAUCCAAAUUUAUCAUAUUGAUGGUAGGACUAACAGGCUUUUUAGAAGCUGGCUUUAACUUUGAGUCUCAAGCUACAAUGCUGUUGGGCAGCCUGGUCUUCCCACGUGAGGGUUUAACUUUGUUUAUUUGCCUCCAGUUAUUCCAAAAUGCUUAUUAAAUGAAAGUCCCAGGAACAUGUUUAUUUUAGUCACCUUUGCUUUUUAACAAUUUUGUUUUGUAAUCAAUGAGUAAUUCAUGAUGAAUUAUUUUUGACUAAUGGAUAGCCGAAGGCCAGGCUUUUAAUUCUAAUAGGUAAUGUUCUUCUUUUGUCUUAUUGAAACAAUGAGAAUACUCUGUGCAUUUCAAAUGCACUCCGAUUAUGCUGUGGUUUUAUUCACAUAAGCACAAUAUGUGUUUUAUUUAUAACUUCAUAACAAACUUAUAAUAUAAUAAUUUACCUUAGCAGACAUGCAAAAGCUUAUUCUUGUGUGACUUACUUUCUUUAAGCUAAUAAUAUAAAAAUAAAUAUGUAUCUUAAAAAUCUAUAAUAAAACAUUAGAAAUUAAAGAUAUGUGCUUUUUAUUUUGCAGAUGAGUUCAUUUGCUUUUGUAGAUGUGUUUUCAGAGCUAGGUACAGAGGAAUGUUUGCUACCUUUAGCGGUGAAAAAAGAAAGAGAGUCAAGAAUUUUGUUGGAUUGUGUUUGUGUGUGCAUAUAUUUGAUAUCAUCAUUAUAUUUGUAAUCUUUGGACUUGUAAUCAUAGCCUGUUUAUUCUACUGUGCCAUUAAAUAUACUUUACCUUAUACAUAACGAAUAAAA
This 3081-nucleotide long non-coding RNA is filed under the name Homo sapiens (human). Its description in RNAcentral is "HSALNT0080024". Lineage: Eukaryota; Metazoa; Chordata; Mammalia; Primates; Hominidae. The record is from RNAcentral.